CAGCUAUCAUUUACUUGAUCUUGACACUAUCCUACUUGGAUAACUGUGGUAAUUCUAGAGCUAAUACAUGCAUUAAAGCUCUGACCUCACGGGAAGAGUGCACUUAUUAGACCAAAACCAAGCGGCUUCGGCUGUUUCUGGUUGACUCAUAGUAAUUGAGCUGAUCGCACGGUCUUGCACCGGCGACGUGUCUUUCAAGUAUCUGCCGUAUCAACUUUCGAUGGUAGUGUAUCUGACUACCAUGGUGAUCACGCGUAACGGAGAAUAAGGGUUCGACUCCGGAGAGUUCGCCUGAGAAAUCGCGAACACAUCUAAGGAAGGCAGCAGGCGCGAAAAUUACCCACUCUCAGCACGAGGAGGUAGUGACGAAAAAUAACGAGACCGUUCUCUUAUGAGGCCGGUCAUCGGAAUGGGUACAAUUUAAACCCUUUAACGAGUAUCUAUGAGAGGGCAAGUCUGGUGCCAGCAGCCGCGGUAAUUCCAGCUCUCAAAGUGCAUAGAAUUAUUGCUGCGGUUAAAAAGCUCGUAGUUGGAUCUGUGCCAUAGGACGGGGUCUACCUUCGGGUACGCACUUCGCUCCUAGGCUUUUUGCUGGUUUUCCCGUCGUAGCCUUCACUGGUUGCGGUUCGGUCCUCUUUUAUUGGUUUUGUGGACUGAGAUAAUGGUUAACAGGGACAAACGGGGGCAUUCGUAUCGCUGCGUGAGAGGUGAAAUUCUUGGACCGUAAGCGAGACGCCCUACUGCGAAAGCAUUUGCCAAGAAUGUCUUCAUUAAUCAAGAACGAAAGUCAGAGGUUCGAAGG
RNAcentral lists this ribosomal RNA (802 nucleotides) under Eucephalobus sp. RNAcentral describes it as "SSU rRNA". It matches the Rfam family "Eukaryotic small subunit ribosomal RNA", at positions 107 to 1004 of the family's 1831-position model. Lineage: Eukaryota; Metazoa; Nematoda; Chromadorea; Rhabditida; Cephalobidae. The record is from RNAcentral.